CUAAAAACCUAGCCCAACAAACAUGAAUUUUACUAAAUUAACUAAACCCCNNUAACAAACCAUUUUAACAUUCUAGUAAAGGAGAUUGAAAAACUUAUUUGGAGCUAUAAAAACAGUACCGCAAGGGAACGGUGAAAUAUUAUGAAAAACUUCAAGCAGCAAAAAGUAAAGAUUACCUCUUGUACCUUUCGCAUCAUGGUUUAACUAGUUUAACCAAGCAAAACGUAUUUAAGUUUGACUUCCCGAAACUAAGUGAGCUACUUCAGGGCAGCUAGAAGAGCAAACCCGUCUCUGUAGCAAAAGAGUGGGACGACCCUCAAGUAGUGGUGACAGACCUAACGAACUUAGUGAUAGCUGGUUGCUCAAGAAACGGAUUUAAGUCCAACCUGAAAGUUUUAUAACCUAGUUCAUCAAAACAAUCACCUAGCUUUCAGCGUAAUUCAAAUAAGGUACAGCCUAUUUGAAGCAGGAUACAACCUAGCCUAGUGGAUAAGAUCAGCCUAACAUACAAUCAAGUGGGCCUAAAAGCAGCCACCUUUAAUACAGCGUCAAAGCUAAAUUGUAACCGAGCCCAAUUACUUAACCCAUAUCUUAAUCCCCUGCCAAUACUGAGUAAUUCUAUAAUAUUAUAGAAAUUUUUAUGUUAAAACUAGUAACAAGAAGAAGAUUCUUCUCUUAAAUGUACAUAUAAAUCAGAAAAGACAAGCUACUGAUACUUAACACCUCUGAGCAUAAAGUAGUAACUAACCAAGAAAACUCUACUUUUACUGGUGUUAAUCUAACACAAGAACAUUCUAAGAAAGA
RNAcentral lists this ribosomal RNA (804 nucleotides) under Bufo bufo (common toad). RNAcentral's name for it is "partial 16S ribosomal RNA". The stretch from base 200 to 648 matches the Rfam family "Bacterial large subunit ribosomal RNA", at positions 619 to 1301 of the family's 2925-position model. The record is from RNAcentral. Lineage: Eukaryota; Metazoa; Chordata; Amphibia; Anura; Bufonidae.